GGGGCCUUAGCUCAGUCGGUUAGAGCAGUGGACUCAUAAUCCAACGGUCGGAGGUUCGAUCCCUCCAGGCCCCA
Molecule: transfer RNA, 74 nt
Filed under: Gemmatimonadota bacterium
Lineage: Bacteria; Pseudomonadati; Gemmatimonadota
Description: tRNA-Ile
Rfam family: tRNA
About the family: Transfer RNA (tRNA) molecules are approximately 80 nucleotides in length. Their secondary structure includes four short double-helical elements and three loops (D, anti-codon, and T loops).
Source: RNAcentral